CAGUCGCCGCGGUAAUGCGUAGGCGGCAAGCGUUGUCCGGAAUUAUUGGGCGUAAAGGGCUCGCAGGCGGUUUCUUAAGUCUGAUGUGAAAGCCCCCGGCUCAACCGGGGAGGGUCAUUGGAAACUGGGAAACUUGAGUGCAGAAGAGGAGAGUGGAAUUCCACGUGUAGCGGUGAAAUGCGUAGAGAUGUGGAGGAACACCAGUGGCGAAGGCGACUCUCUGGUCUGUAACUGACGCUGAGGAGCGAAAGCGUGGGGAGCGAACAGGAUUAGAUACCCCCGUAGUCCCUGUCUCUUAUAC
RNAcentral lists this ribosomal RNA (301 nucleotides) under uncultured bacterium. Its description in RNAcentral is "partial 16S ribosomal RNA". It matches the Rfam family "Bacterial small subunit ribosomal RNA", at positions 509 to 807 of the family's 1533-position model. The record is from RNAcentral.